This is a long non-coding RNA of Gallus gallus (chicken), 1558 nucleotides long. NCBI's taxonomy places the organism in Eukaryota, Metazoa, Chordata, Aves, Galliformes, Phasianidae. The record is from Ensembl.
CGAAGUAGGACGCGUAGUAUCACUUCUCCGUGGUAGAAUAGUGAAUAUAGCAUGACCAAAUGACUGUGCUUUACACUGGACACUGAAUUUUUCAUCAGGAGGUUUUAUUUACUUUGGUUAGUCUCCAAAUGAAGAGCAGAAGCAGAAUCAGUGUUCUGCAUUCACCUCUUUGUCUUGUUCCUGUCUUCUGGUAGCUGGGAAUGGCAAACCAAGUAAUGAUGGAUUGGAGAGUGAUGAAAAGAUGAAGCUUCUGAAAAUGUGUGAGCAUCGAAGCGUAGGCCAGGUGCUACAUUUUGAACGUCGGGGUCUGCUGCUGACCUUAAGUUACUGGGAGCUCUGAAACCGUUCCAGUUGCAUUGGUGCCUUGACUCAUCACUGUUUAGGCACAGGCUUUGCCAGAGUGCAGGACGGGGGCAUGCUGCUUGCAGGGAAGACUUCCAUACAGGAGCUUUGCCGUGGGUUAUAGAGGCAUUCCAGAGCUUGAGCAGAAUUCUGCAGACCUGAAAGAGAUGCCCUGGUUCAGAGCUGUAGAAGGAUUCAGCGAUGCCAAAAAGCCGUCUGAAUCAAAAAGAGAUGAUGAUCCUGAUGAAGAAGUUUUGCCUAGAGUGAUUGAAAAACCUAUCCUGCCAAAAAUUACAGUAUUUGCCAAGAAUGUGUGGGAUCCUUUAUCGACUUCACAGACUGAGAGCCUUACACAGCUUUGCGAUAACGUGUUUGAAAAACAGGUCCUGUCCAGAAGGGAAUGCAGUCAGGCAAAACAGGUAAAGGCUGUUGUGGUAAUGGGGAAGGAAGUUCUUGAUACAGUGUAUGCACUUCACUGUAAAUAUUCACUGUAACAUACACUUAGCCCAGUUCUGGUUUUAUUCUCAUGCGAAUCUGGGAGUUUAUCCAGCAUAAAGUAGGUGAAACUAAGUUGAUGUUUAGACCCUUAGCAUGAAAAGAAAUAAUAACAAACGUUUAUGCAGUCGCCACACUUGACUUCAGGAAGAAGCUUUCGAUAAGAUUCUGUUUGUAUAGUAGCUGUGGUGUUUUUGUUGUGGUUUUUUUAAUAGAACCUCAUAGCUGGAAAAUACAUUAAUCUCGUUAUCCAGGAGGAUUUUAUUAAAAAAAAAAAAAAAAAAAAAAGGAAAGGUGGUUAAAGCUGAGACUUGCUCACAGGUCUUUAAUGCAGUCGUGAUCUUAGUGUCUAUUAUAUACAGUGGCACCUGCAUUCAGCUGAGUUAGCAUUUUGCUUUUCCACAUGAACAAAAUAACUGCCUAAAAUUGUUGUAAGUGGAAGGUGAGAUCCUUUUCUUGUGAGGAUGUGUUAAUAUUUUUCCUUUUUUCUUUUCUUGACAGGAUUUGAUUAACACGGUUGUCCUGAGGAUGAAGCAGUCUGUAGAGGAGGAUGUCUUUAUCCCUCUGUAUCCGAAAAGCACUGUGGAAGACAAAUCAUCUCCAUGUUCAAAAUUGCAAGGCAGAUGGUUUUGGUCAGCUGUUGAGGUAAAGAAAAAGCACCGAUCUUGUCUGUGAAAAUCAUUUUAGUUAAAAGGAGAUUGUAGUCUUGGAGGAAAUGUAU